RNAcentral lists this ribosomal RNA (498 nucleotides) under uncultured bacterium. RNAcentral's name for it is "partial 16S ribosomal RNA". It matches the Rfam family "Bacterial small subunit ribosomal RNA", at positions 29 to 507 of the family's 1533-position model. The record is from RNAcentral.
AGCGAACGCUGGCGGCGUGCCUAACACAUGCAAGUCGAACGUGAAAAGGGAAACCUGAGUAAAGUGGCGUACGGGUGAGUCACGCGUAGGUAAUCUACCCCAGAAUCUGGAAUAACCUGCCGAAAGGCGGGCUAAUACUGGAUAGAGCGAGGGAACUUGUAAGAGAGUUUUUCGGGAAAGGGAGCCCGCAAGGGCCUUCGUUCUGGGAUGAGCCUGCGUCUCAUUAGCUAGUUGGUAAGGUAACGGCUUACCAAGGCGAUGAUGAGUAGCUGGUCUGAGAGGAUGAUCAGCCCAACUGGGACUGAAACACGGUCCAGACUCCUACGGGAGGCCGCAGUGGGGAAGCUUGCGCAAUGGACGAAAGUCUGACGCAGCCACGCCGCGUGAGUGAAGAAGGCCUUCGGGUUGUAAAGCUCUGUCGGAUGGGACGAACAUCUUCAUAGUGAAUAGCUAUGAGGACUGACGGUACCAACAAAGGAAGCACCGGCUAACUCCGUG